Molecule: long non-coding RNA, 2694 nt
Organism: Ctenopharyngodon idella (grass carp)
Lineage: Eukaryota; Metazoa; Chordata; Actinopteri; Cypriniformes; Xenocyprididae
Exons: 2
Source: RefSeq, a predicted model, not a curated record
GACCUAGAAAAACUAAUGCUCACAUAUAAGUAUUUUAAAAAUACGAAAAAUCUGUGAUGAAUUGGCCUUUUUGUCGUAUUGGUUCCUAGCUCUGGUGCAGCACUCUGGGCGGGACUGACCAGCUACGUGCCGAAAGCGCAGUCUGUUGUAGACUGCAUCCAGAAAAUCCUUAACCACCUGUUAAGGGCCUGUUAAAGCUAUCAGUUCACCCCAAGUCAGCACUUGGAGAUAGGACUAGGGUGUGUCCUGUAAGGUGGUGGGUGGGACACAGGCCACACCCUAGGUUGCCGAAAAAAAAAAAAAAACGACGACGAACUUAAAAAAAAACAACAAAAAAUACCCAAAAUGAAAUCUGAAAUAGUUAAAUUCAUAAUGACACAGUCAAAAACAUUUCUAAAUGACCUAGCAAAACUAAUGCCCACAUAUAAGUAUUUUAAAAUACAAAAACUGUAGUAAAUUGGCCUUUUUGUCGUAUUGGUUCCUAGCUCUGGUGCAGCACUCUGGGCGGGACUGACCAGCUACGUGCCGAAAGCGCAGUCUGUUGUAGACUGCAUCCAGAAAACCCUUAACCUCCUGUUAAGGGCCUGUUAAAGCUAUCAGUUCACCCCAAGUCAGCACUUGGAGAUAGGACUAGGGUGUGUCCUGUAAGGUGGUGGGUGGGACACAGGCCACACCCUAGGUUGCCGAAAAAAAAAAAAACGACGACGAACUUAAAAAAAACAACAAAAAAUACCCAAAAUGAAAUCUGAAAUAGUUAAAUUCAUAAUGACACAGUCAAAAACAUUUCUAAAUGACCUAGCAAAACUAAUGCCCACAUAUAAGUAUUUUAAAAUACAAAAACUGUAGUAAAUUGGCCUUUUUGUCGUAUUGGUUCCUAGCUCUGGUGCAGCACUCUGGGCGGGACUGACCAGCUACGUGCCGAAAGCGCAGUCUGUUGUAGACUGCAUCCAGAAAACCCUUAACCACCUGUUAAGGGCCUGUUAAAGCUAUCAGUUCACCCCAAGUCAGCACUUGGACAUAGGACUAGGGUGUGUCCUGUAAGGUGGUGGGUGGGACACAGGCCACACCCUAGGUUGCCGAAAAAAAAAAAACGACGACGAACUUAAAAAAAACAACAAAAAAUACCCAAAAUGAAAUCUGAAAUAGUUAAAUUCAUAAUGACACUGUCAAAAACAUUUCUAAAUGACCUAGCAAAACUAAUGCCCACAUAUAAGUAUUUUAAAAUACAAAAACUGUAGUAAAUUGGCCUUUUUGUCGUAUUGGUUCCUAGCUCUGGUGCAGCACUCUGGGCGGGACUGACCAGCUACGUGCCGAAAGCGCAGUCUGUUGUAGACUGCAUCCAGAAAACCCUUAACCGCCUGUUAAGGGCCUGUUAAAGCUAUCAGUUCACCCCAAGUCAGCACUUGGAGAUAGGACUAGGGUGUGUCCUGUAAGGUGGUGGGUGGGACACAGGCCACACCCUAGGUUGCCAAAAAAAAAAAAAAACGGUGACGAACUAAAAAAAAAAAAGCUAACUGAAAUCUGAAAUAGUUAAAUUCAUAAUGAAACACAGUCAAAAACAUUUCUAAAUGACGUAGCAAAACUAAUGCCCAGAUAUAAUUAUUUUAAAAAUACGAAAAAUCUGUGAUGAAUUGGCCUUUUUGUCGUAUUGGUUCCUAGCUCUGGUGCAGCACUCUGGGCGGGACUGACCAGCUACGUGCCGAAAGCGCAGUCUGUUGUAGACUGCAUCCAGAAAACCCUUAACCGCCUGUUAAGGGCCUGUUAAAGCUAUCAGUUCACCCCAAGUCAGCACUUGGAGAUAGGACUAGGGUGUGUCCUGUAAGGUGGUGGGUGGGACACAGGCCACACCCUAGGUUGCCAAAAAAAAAAAAACGACGACGAACUUAAAAAAACAACAACAAAAAAACCCAAAAUGAAAUCUGAAAUAGUUAAAUUCAUAAUGAAACACAGUCAAAAACAUUUCUAAAUGACGUAGCAAAACUAAUGCCCAGAUAUAAUUAUUUAAAAAAUAUGAAGUCUGUGAUGAAUUGGCCUUUUUGUCGUAUUGGUUCCUAGCUCUGGUGCAGCACUCUGGGCGGGACUGACCAGCUACAUGCCGAAAGCGCAGUCUGUUGUAGACUGCAUCCAGAAAAUCCUUAACCACCUGUUAAGGGCCUGUUAAAGCUAUCAGUUCACCCCAAGUCAGCACUUGGAGAUAGGACUAGGGUGUGUCCUGUAAGGUGGUGGGUGGGACACAGGCCACACCCUAGGUUGCCGAAAAAAAAAAAACGACGACGAACUUAAAAAAAACAACAAAAAAUACCCAAAAUGAAAUCUGAAAUAGUUAAAUUCAUAAUGACACUGUCAAAAACAUUUCUAAAUGACCUAGCAAAACUAAUGCCCACAUAUAAGUAUUUUAAAAUACAAAAACUGUAGUAAAUUGGCCUUUUUGUCGUAUUGGUUCCUAGCUCUGGUGCAGCACUCUGGGCGGGACUGACCAGCUACGUGCCGAAAGCGCAGUCUGUUGUAGACUGCAUCCAGAAAACCCUUAACCGCCUGUUAAGGGCCUGUCAAAGCUAUCAGUUCACCCCAAGUCAGCACUUGGAGAUAGGACUAGGGUGUGUCCUGUAAGGUGGUGGGUGGGACACAGGCCACACCCUAGGUUGCCGAAAAAAAAAAAAAAACGACGACGAACUUAAAAAAAAACAACAAAAA